GACGAACGCUGGCGGCGUGCUUAACACAUGCAAGUCGAACGGAAAGGCCCCUUUGGGGGUACUCGAGUGGCGAACGGGUGAGUAACACGUGAGUAACCUGCCCUUGACUUCGGGAUAACUUCAGGAAACUGGGGCUAAUACCGGAUAGGAAUCCUUGCUGCAUGGUGGGGGUUGGAAAGCUUCGGCGGUUUUGGGUGGACUCGCGGCUUAUCAGCUUGUUGGUGGGGUAGUGGCUUACCAAGGCUUUGACGGGUAGCCGGCCUGAGAGGGCGACCGGCCACACUGGGACGGAGAGACGGCCCAGACGCCUACGGGAGGCAGCAGGGGGGAAUAUUGCACAAUGGGCGGAAGCCUGAUGCAGGAACGCCGCGUGCGGGAUGACGGCCUUCGGGUUGUAAGCCGCUUUCAGCAGGGGCGAAGCUUGUGGUGACGGUACCUGCAGAAGAAGCACCGGCUAACUACGUG
RNAcentral lists this ribosomal RNA (465 nucleotides) under uncultured bacterium. RNAcentral's name for it is "partial 16S ribosomal RNA". It matches the Rfam family "Bacterial small subunit ribosomal RNA", at positions 28 to 507 of the family's 1533-position model. The record is from RNAcentral.